AACCCCUCCUCCCCGUUUGAGUCACUUUCCCCUUCCCUCGCCUCAAAGGCUCAAACCCUCAUCUCGUCGUCAGGAGAGAAAGAGAGGCUUUCGGAGCAAGCGGCCAUGAAUAACCUCAUCGUAGCCGGUCGCGCCGUGGGGCUCGCCUCGCACUUCUUCAUAUGGCUGCUCGGCGCGUGCCUGCUCGCCAUCGUCAUCGGGCGCCGCGCCGGCGGCGAGGAUUCCCCCAUGGCGAUGGCGGGGAGAGAGGUCGGCCUCGUCACAUUCAUCCUCUGUGGACUGCUCUGUAUCCUCCACAUGGUGCUGCUGACGCUAGGCCUGGUGGCGGAGCCUAGAAAGCUGUGAAUAGUACAAGGAUCCUGCUCCUGCAGUGGCGUGGUGGAGGUUAUUUUCCAAUGUGUGCUGUUUUUGCCGUGCUAUGCCUCAUUAUGCACAUCGGUUCUCAGAUGGAGGGUGAAAACGGCCAGCUUCUUGUCGAUGUGGGGAUAUCUGGUAUUGGGGCAUUGUUGGUGUUCAUUAUCAGCCCCACUCUGGCACUAAGGCUGUACAAUUACUGAGUUGCUGGGAUGUGGAAAUAUCUUAUUCGGUUACGGCAAGAAGAUGAUGUUUUUUUUGACCAAAAAGAAGAUGAUGGUUAAUCAGCCAACUACUACAAGUUGCUUAUUUUCUAAAUCUAAUCCUGGACGUUCACUUGUCUAACGCACUUACUGCUGCUAUGCCUGCGCUGCACACUAGUAGCUGUUUCUGAAGAGGUUUUAUCAUUGUUGGCAGCGGCGACCGUUUGCCAGUGAUUUAUGUUUACUGAAGAAGUUUUCUCGAUAGUCGAUAAUGCCUGGAGUUAUUUUGGGCUGAACCCUGAGCUGCUUGAGCCAAAACAACAACUGUUAGUUGAUUCUUAAUGUAGUUUCAAGUGCUUUAAGGCUCGUCCGCUUGUUCAUGGGUUUUGUUUUUGUUACGAGCUCUGAAACAGCGUUAUCUUGAAUACUUCUGAUUUUUAGUCCAAA
Molecule: RNA transcript, 1004 nt
Organism: Brachypodium distachyon (stiff brome)
Lineage: Eukaryota; Viridiplantae; Streptophyta; Magnoliopsida; Poales; Poaceae
Exons: 3
Source: RefSeq, a predicted model, not a curated record